This 440-nucleotide ribosomal RNA is filed under the name uncultured bacterium. RNAcentral's name for it is "partial 16S ribosomal RNA". It matches the Rfam family "Bacterial small subunit ribosomal RNA", at positions 338 to 795 of the family's 1533-position model. The record is from RNAcentral.
CCUACGGGCGGCAGCAGUGGGGGAUAUUGCACAAUGGGGGGAACCCUGAUGCAGCGACGCCGCGUGGGUGAAGAAGCGCCUCGGCGCGUAAAGCUCUGUCAGCAGGGAAGAAAAUGAUGGUAGCUGAAGAAGAAGCCCCGGCUAAUUACGUGCCAGCAGCCGCGGUAAUACGUAGGGGGCAAGCGUUAUCCGGAUUUACUGGGUGUAAAGGGGGCGCAGACGGCGGUGCAAGCCAGGAGUGAAAGCCCGGGGCUCAACCCCGGGACUGCUCUUGGAACUGCGUGGCUGGAGUGCAGGAGGGGCAGGCGGAAUUCCUGGUGUAGCGGUGAAAUGCGUAGAUAUCAGGAGGAACACCGGUGGCGAAGGCGGCCUGCUGGACUGCAACUGACGUUGAGGCCCGAAAGCGUGGGGAGCAAACAGGAUUAGAUACCCCGGUAGUC